UUUUGUGAUUUUUUUUAAACAAACGUUCAAAAGGUUAAACAAUAAAGACAAUUUUUCACAGGCUUUUUUGCUCAUAUUUACCAAGGGUGCGAAUAUUAGUGGAGGGCACUGUAAUAGUAGAGAAGCAAAAUUGUGUUAAAGGCUGUAAAAUUCGUACAGCAAUGCGCAUUAAGAAAUUUAUCACAUGACUGAGUUACCAAAAGAACUAAGACAAGACGAUUUAACGCAGUGUAAUGGAAAGACAUUUUUAUUAAAGGUUCAAAUGACUAGCCUUUAGAUUUCCUCAUUCUUUAAAACACACACACACACACACACACACAUUAGGUGUGUGUAUUAGGUCAGUGUCUCCUUACUGCUUCCUUACACCUGUGCUGAGUGGUGAGUGUGAGGUGAUGAGUGUGAGGUGAUGAAUACGAGGUUUUACUAAAUGUUUUAACUCUCUUGCCUAUUGUAACACUGUUUAUAAUUUAAUUCUUGCCCACUUGAACACAGUUUUCUUUCCUAUUAGUGGUACAGCGAUUGCUGAACCACAACGUUGAACAACUAGAUAACAAGCUAGGACACAUUUCAUGUUAUUGGGUCGUACAGUCCACUCCAUCCAGGCUGAGGCUCUUCCUCCUGGAGCUCCGUCGCCUCUUCUCCCGUGAAAUUAAUUACUGACAGUGCAGAGGUGGUGCAGGAAUAAUCCCAGAGGUGGUGCAGGAAUAAUCCAAGUGUUGCAGGAAUAACCACCCAUAUGAGUUGAGACUGGAAGUGUUGUUUUGUUAAACUACAUGCAAAUUACAUUCAAUAAGAUUAUAUCUCAAUGUGGUCCAAUUUGUAACCCACCCUUGAUUUCACUCUGGAGAUAAUUCUUAGUACAAUUUCACAUAAAGAAAUCUUGUGUUCUAAACCAAAAGAGAACUUGUUGAUUGGUUAUCAAGUAUUUUAAAAUUUAAUGUUAAUGCAAAGUGUGAUAGUAUGAGUGUAGUGUCUGUCUGUCUGUCUCUGUCUGUCUCUCUCUCUCUCUCUCUCUCUCUCUCUCUCUCUUUUGUAUUUAAUUCAGACCAGCUGCUGUUGGAUAUCUGCGGAGAGUGCUUUUCUGGCUAAGGGGAGACCCUCUGGAGCAUUGGUUUUAUCCAUUGGAAUUUGACUGUGUCGUCAAAAAAUAGACAUGUACUUAGUGGAGAAGCCUUUGUUUGUAAUGACGGCUUCAAUAUGCAUCCUGUAUGAAGAAAUUAAUGGACAGCAGUAUUCAGGUGUGAUUUUGGCCCAUUCUUUUAAACAUAUUGUCUUUAAAUCUUGUUUAAUUGGAUUCAUGUCAGGUGAUUGACUGGGCCAUUCUAACACCUUUGUUUGUUUUCCCUAUGAAAUCAAUUGAGAGUUUCUUUUGCUGUAUGUUUUGGAUCGUUGUCCUGCUGGAAGGUCCAUCCACGUCUCAUCUUCAUCAUCAUGGUGGAUGGCAGCAGAUUCUUCUGAAGAAUCUCCCGGCACCUGCUGCCUCCAAGUGUUUCUGGAGCUCUUUCCGAGUGGUCCUUGGCUCUUGAGCUACUCUUCUGACUAUUCUUCUGACUCCCUGGUCAGAAAUCUUGUGAGGAGCUCCUGUGCAUGCCCGGUUGAUGAUGGAGUGAUGUUGCUUCCACUUGCGGAUAAUGGCCCCAAUGGUGAUUACUGGAAGAUUCAGAAGUUUUGAAAUAUGUCUGUAUCCGAUUCCAUCAAUAUGUUUUGCAACAACAAGGUUGCAUAUAUAUACUGUAUAUAUAUUGUAAGGGAAUUAGCCCAGGGAAGGGCGGAGCACACAAUAUAUAUACAGUUGCCAAUAGCGAAUGUUGUGGCACUCACAAUUUGUAGAGGUCUGCGGGGUGACUUGCUGGUAGGACAGGCAAUUGGUGAAACUGAGAAAAGGAGAACUGACCAAACUCAGCAUCAUGCAAUAGUUGUUGUUGUAAGUUUGACUGAAGAUAGCUGGGGUGGGGACAAUCUCUUUACUGCAGAUACCAAGCCAUGAACAAAAAAGUAAAUGUCAUCUUUCUUUAACUUUCUCUAUUGCUCUCUUCAUUGAUCUCUUCGCUCCUCUUUCUCUCUUUAUUCUUAUAGCCAAUGUGGUGUUUAUCAUAAAGACACCAGCAGCUCAACAUUCUUUCUCAACAUUCAAGAUGCAAGCUACUUGCUUGCAUCUUUUUUUUCGUCUUCUUCUUUGUCUGCAAGACAGUUUUGUACUUGAGCAGCACCAAGUCGUAGUUUUAUGUAACUUCAGCAGCUCCAGGCACGUGAACAAAAGUGCGAAUCUCAUUGGUUGGCCAGUUUUUAAUGCGGCACAUAAAAAAAUUAACCCCUCAACAUUAAAAGAAUUUGACGCCUUAACACCACGUGUUUUAUGCGUGGGUGUGAACACUCCCAUUGACGGCCAUUGGGAAAAACUUCCCGGUGUGAACAGGCCUUUAGCCAUUGCAUUUGAUUUUGUCACACUCUGAGCUUCUUGUGCUAUUAUUUAAAUGUGUCAAAUUUCUUUGUAAUUUGUUGAAUUGUGUGCUGAAACAAAUAAAAUUAGUUAUAAAAAAUAGUUGAUGGUUGGUUAAUUUAUUACAAAAUGAGAAAGAUGUAGUCCUAUAUUCUUUACAAAUGUACCUCAAAUCAUAAAAUAUUUUUCCCCUACUUGUUUUUUUUUAUUCCUGGAUUGUGUUUAUAUUAAUGUUGGGUAUAUGAAUUUUUAAGAAUAUUAAGAUGAUGAGCUCUGAUUUGCCACAAUAUUGCAAACCCCACGAAAAUGUGCUUUUUUUAUGUAAAUAAUGAUGCUAAAAUAAAUCGUCAUCUUUUUCCACCUUAUAGCAACCAAGAAAAAAAAAAACUUACAAUAACCUGGUUGCAUAAGUGUAAACACCUCUGUAAUAUAUUUUGGUUAAGAGUCUUAUUCCACUGCUUCUUGCAGAAAUACUCCAGAUCUAUCAAAUUGUGAGGAGUUCUCUUGUGCAUAGCCAUUACAUAGGCUUUUGAUAGGACUUCAAUCUGGGCUCUGACUGGACCAUUCCAAAACAUCAAUUUUCUUCUUCUGAAGCUAUUCCUUUGUUGAUUUGGAUUUUUCUUCACAUGUCCAACAGAGGCUUGCCAGUUUUGUGAAAUAAUUAUCUUCUAUCAUCUAGUAUAAAGUUACCUUCUAUCUUGACUAGUGCCCUAGUUCCAGCUGAAGAGAAGCAGCCCCAUAGUAUAAUGUUGCCACCACCAUGCUUCACCAUUGGCAUGGUGUUCUCUGGUUGAUAAGCUCGCUUGUUUUUGUGCCAAAUAUAUCUUUUAGAAUUAUACCAAAAGAGUUUUACCUUGGUCUUAUCAGACCAUAACACAUUUCCCUUCAUGGUUUAUCAAAAUGUAGGAUGGCUUAGGUGGGCUUUUUCACAAGAAUGGGCUUUUGUCUGGCCACCCUACCUUAUAGCCCAGACAUUUGAAGAAUACAGUAGUUUGCUGUCAUGUGCAGGGAGUGACCAGCACAGAUAUUGCUGAAGCUCCUUUAAUGUUGCUGUAGGUCUCUUGGCAGCCUCCGUGAUAGUUUUUCCCCCUUUCAUCAGUUUUGGAGGGACGUCCUGUUCUUGGUAAUGUCACUGUGGCUUCUCAUUUUCUCCAUAUGAUGAUGGCCUUCACGGUGGUCCAUGGUACAUCUAAUUUUUUUGGAUUUUUUUUUGUACCACACUC
This is a long non-coding RNA of Ictalurus punctatus (channel catfish), 3663 nucleotides long. RefSeq lists it as uncharacterized. NCBI's taxonomy places the organism in Eukaryota, Metazoa, Chordata, Actinopteri, Siluriformes, Ictaluridae. The transcript has 4 exons. The record is from RefSeq and is a predicted model, not a curated record.